CUCACUAGUCGAGUCGGCCUGCGCGGAAGAUGUAACGGGGCUCAAACCACACACCGAAGCUGCGGGUGUCACGUAAGUGACGCGGUAGAGGAGCGUUCUGUAAGCCUGUGAAGGUGAGUUGAGAAGCUUGCUGGAGGUAUCAGAAGUGCGAAUGCUGACAUGAGUAACGACAAUGGGUGUGAAAAACACCCACGCCGAAAGACCAAGGGUUCCUGCGCAACGUUAAUCGACGCAGGGUUAGUCGGUUCCUAAGGCGAGGCUGAAAAGCGUAGUCGAUGGGAAACAGGUUAAUAUUCCUGUACUUCUGGUUACUGCGAUGGAGGGACGGAGAAGGCUAGGCCAGCUUGGCGUUGGUUGUCCAAGUUUAAGGUGGUAGGCUGAAAUCUUAGGUAAAUCCGGGGUUUCAAGGCCGAGAGCUGAUGACGAGUCGUCUUUUAGAUGACGAAGUGGUUGAUGCCAUGCUUCCAAGAAAAGCUUCUAAGCUUCAGGUAACCAGGAACCGUACCCCAAACCGACACAGGUGGUCGGGUAGAGAAUACCAAGGCGCUUGAGAGAACUCGGGUGAAGGAACUAGGCAAAAUGGCACCGUAACUUCGGGAGAAGGUGCGCCGGCUAGGGUGAAGGAUUUACUCCGUAAGCUCUGGCUGGUCGAAGAUACCAGGCCGCUGCGACUGUUUAUUAAAAACACAGCACUCUGCAAACACGAAAGUGGACGUAUAGGGUGUGACGCCUGCCCGGUGCCGGAAGGUUAAUUGAUGGGGUUAGCGCAAGCGAAGCUCUUGAUCGAAGCCCCGGUAAACGGCGGCCGUAACUAUAACGGUCCUAAGGUAGCGAAAUUCCUUGUCGGGUAAGUUCCGACCUGCACGAAUGGCGUAACGAUGGCGGCGCUGUCUCCACCCGAGACUCAGUGAAAUUGAAAUCGCUGUGAAGAUGCAGUGUAUCCGCGGCUAGA
Molecule: ribosomal RNA, 952 nt
Filed under: Pseudomonas aeruginosa
Lineage: Bacteria; Pseudomonadati; Pseudomonadota; Gammaproteobacteria; Pseudomonadales; Pseudomonadaceae
Description: partial 23S ribosomal RNA
Rfam family: Bacterial large subunit ribosomal RNA
Source: RNAcentral